RNAcentral lists this ribosomal RNA (253 nucleotides) under uncultured Parabacteroides sp. Its description in RNAcentral is "partial 16S ribosomal RNA". It matches the Rfam family "Bacterial small subunit ribosomal RNA", at positions 524 to 776 of the family's 1533-position model. The record is from RNAcentral. Lineage: Bacteria; Pseudomonadati; Bacteroidota; Bacteroidia; Bacteroidales; Tannerellaceae.
UACGGAGGAUCCGAGCGUUAUCCGGAUUUAUUGGGUUUAAAGGGAGCGUAGGUGGAUUGUUAAGUCAGCGGUGAAAGUCUGUGGCUCAACCAUAGAAUUGCCGUUGAAACUGGGGGGCUUGAGUAUGUUUGAGGCAGGCGGAAUGCGUGGUGUAGCGGUGAAAUGCAUAGAUAUCGCGCAGAACCCCGAUUGCGAAGGCAGCCUGCCGGCCCCACACUGACGCUGAGGCACGAAAGCGUGGGUAUCGAACAGG